UACGAAGGGGACUAGCGUUGUUCGGAAUCACUGGGCGUAAAGCGCACGUAGGCGGAUGUGUCAGUCAGGGGUGAAAUCCCGGGGCUCAACCUCGGAACUGCCUUUGAUACAGCACGUCUCGAGUCCGGAAGAGGUGGGUGGAAUUCCUGGUGUAGCGGUGAAAUGCGCAGAUAUCAGGAAGAACACCCGUGGCGAAGGCGGCUCUCUGGAACGGUACUGACGCUGAGACGCGAAAGCGUGGGGAGCGAACAGG
RNAcentral lists this ribosomal RNA (253 nucleotides) under uncultured bacterium. RNAcentral's name for it is "partial 16S ribosomal RNA". It matches the Rfam family "Bacterial small subunit ribosomal RNA", at positions 524 to 776 of the family's 1533-position model. The record is from RNAcentral.